GACGAACGCUGGCGGCGUGCUUAACACAUGCAAGUCGAACGGACAGGCCCUGCUUUUGUGGGGUGCUCGAGUGGCGAACGGGUGAGUAACACGCGAGUAACAUGCCCUUGACUUUGUGAUAACUUCAGGAAACAGGGGAUCAUACCGGAUAGGAGCUCCUGCUGCAUGGUGGGGGUUGGAAAGUUUCGGCGGUUGGGGCUGGACUCGCGGGUUAUCAGCUUGUUAGUGGGGUAGUGGUUUACCAAGGUUUUGACGGGUAGCCGGCCUGAGAGGGUGACCGGCCACAUUGGGACUGAGGUACGGCCCAGACGGCUACGGGAGGCAGCAGUGGGGAAUAUUGCGCAGUGGGCGGAAGCGUGAUGCAGCAACGCCGGGUGCGGGAUGACGGCCUUCGGGUUGUAAACCGCUUUCGACUGUGACGAAGCGGGAGUGACGGUAAUGGGUAAAGAAGCACCGGCUAACUACGUG
RNAcentral lists this ribosomal RNA (468 nucleotides) under uncultured bacterium. RNAcentral describes it as "partial 16S ribosomal RNA". It matches the Rfam family "Bacterial small subunit ribosomal RNA", at positions 28 to 507 of the family's 1533-position model. The record is from RNAcentral.